UACGUAGGGUGCGAGCGUUAAUCGGAAUUACUGGGCGUAAAGCGUGCGCAGGCGGUUUUGUAAGCCAGAUGUGAAAUCCCCGGGCUUAACCUGGGAAUGGCAUUUGGGACUGCAAGGCUCGAGUGCGGCAGAGGAGACUGGAAUUCCUGGUGUAGCAGUGAAAUGCGUAGAUAUCGAGAGGAACACCUGCGGCGAAGGCGGGUUGCUGGGCUGACACUGACGCUGAGGCGCGAAAGCCAGGGGAGCGAACGGG
Molecule: ribosomal RNA, 253 nt
Filed under: uncultured bacterium
Lineage: Bacteria
Description: partial 16S ribosomal RNA
Rfam family: Bacterial small subunit ribosomal RNA
Source: RNAcentral